GUGCUCACUUCGGCAGCACACAUACUAAAAUUGGAACGAUACAGAGAAGAUUAGCAAGGCCCCUGCACAAGGAUGACACGCAAAUUCACGAAGCGUUCCAUAUUUUU
This is a small nuclear RNA of Spermophilus dauricus (Daurian ground squirrel), 107 nucleotides long. NCBI's taxonomy places the organism in Eukaryota, Metazoa, Chordata, Mammalia, Rodentia, Sciuridae. The record is from Ensembl.